RNAcentral lists this signal recognition particle RNA (292 nucleotides) under Aotus nancymaae (Ma's night monkey). Its description in RNAcentral is "Metazoan signal recognition particle RNA (ENSANAG00000015122.1)". It matches the Rfam family "Metazoan signal recognition particle RNA". From Rfam's summary of the family: The signal recognition particle (SRP) is a universally conserved ribonucleoprotein. It is involved in the co-translational targeting of proteins to membranes. The record is from RNAcentral. Lineage: Eukaryota; Metazoa; Chordata; Mammalia; Primates; Aotidae.
GCUUUUUAAAACAAAGGAUGCACCGGGCGCGGUGGAAGGCUGAGGUGGGAGGAUCGCUUGAGCCCAGGAGUUCUGGGCUGUAGUGCGCUAUGCCGAUAGGUGUCCGCACUAAGUUUGGCAUCAAUAUUGUGACCUCCCGGGAGCAGGGGACCACCAGGUUGCCUAAGGAGGGGUGAACGGGCCCAGGUCAGAAACCGAGCAGGUCAAAACUCCUGUGCUGAUCAGUAGUGGGAUCGCGCCUGUGAAUAGCCACUGCACUCCAGCCUGGGCAACAUAGCGAGACCCCAUCUCU